GGGGAUUUAGCUCAGUGGUAGAGUGCUUGCCUAGCAAGUGCAAGCCCCUGGGUUCAGUCCCCA
This 63-nucleotide transfer RNA is filed under the name Rattus norvegicus (Norway rat). It matches the Rfam family "tRNA". From Rfam's summary of the family: Transfer RNA (tRNA) molecules are approximately 80 nucleotides in length. Their secondary structure includes four short double-helical elements and three loops (D, anti-codon, and T loops). Lineage: Eukaryota; Metazoa; Chordata; Mammalia; Rodentia; Muridae. The record is from Rfam by way of RNAcentral.